Molecule: ribosomal RNA, 250 nt
Filed under: uncultured bacterium
Lineage: Bacteria
Description: partial 16S ribosomal RNA
Rfam family: Bacterial small subunit ribosomal RNA
Source: RNAcentral
CACGCCGUAAACGAUGAGUACUAGGUGUAGGGGGUAUCGACCCCCCCUGUGCCGCAGUAAACACAAUAAGUACUCCGCCUGGGAAGUACGAUCGCAAGAUUAAAACUCAAAGGAAUUGACGGGGACCCGCACAAGCAGCGGAGCAUGUGGUUUAAUUCGAAGCAACGCGAAGAACCUUACCAGGACUUGACAUCCUACUAACGAGGUAGAGAUACGUCAGGUGCCCUUCGGGGAAAGUAGAGACAGGUGG